UAGGGAAUAUUGGACAAUGGGCGAAAGCCUGAUCCAGCCAUGCCGCGUGAGUGACGAAGGCCUUCGGGUCGUAAAACUCUUUUCUGAGGGAAGAACAUCCGGGGUAGGAAAUGCCCCCGGCUUGACGGUACCUCAGGAAUAAGCAACGGCUAACUCCGUGCCAGCAGCCGCGGUAAUACGGAGGUUGCGAGCGUUGUUCGGAAUAACUGGGCGUAAAGGGAGCGCAGGCGGUUUGGUCAGUUCAAAGUGAAAGCCCGGGGCUUAACCUCGGAAGUGCUUUGGAUACUGCCUUACUCGAGUUCGUGAGAGGAAAGCGGAAUUCCAGGUGUAGCGGUGAAAUGCGUAGAUAUCUGGAGGAACACCGGUGGCGAAAGCGGCUUUCUGGCGCGAUACUGACGCUGAGGCUCGAAAGCAUGGGGAGCGAACAG
RNAcentral lists this ribosomal RNA (428 nucleotides) under uncultured bacterium. RNAcentral's name for it is "bacterial SSU rRNA". It matches the Rfam family "Bacterial small subunit ribosomal RNA", at positions 355 to 775 of the family's 1533-position model. The record is from RNAcentral.